This 464-nucleotide ribosomal RNA is filed under the name uncultured bacterium. RNAcentral's name for it is "partial 16S ribosomal RNA". It matches the Rfam family "Bacterial small subunit ribosomal RNA", at positions 339 to 795 of the family's 1533-position model. The record is from RNAcentral.
CUACGGGAGGCAGCAGUGGGGAAUAUUGCACAAUGGGCGCAAGCCUGAUGCAGCCAUGCCGCGUGUAUGAAGAAGGCCUUCGGGUUGUAAAGUACUUUCAGCAGGGAGGAAGGGAGUAAAGUUAAUACCUUUGCUCAUUGACGUUACCCGCAGAAGAAGCACCGGCUAACUCCGUGCCAGCAGCCGCGGUAAUACGGAGGGUGCAAGCGUUAAUCGGAAUUACUGGGCGUAAAGCGCACGCAGGCGGGUUGUUAAGUCAGAUGUGAAAUCCCCGGGCUCAACCUGGGAACUGCAUCUGAUACUGGCAAGCUUGAGUCUCGUAGAGGGGGGUAGAAUUCCAGGUGUAGCGGUGAAAUGCGUAGAGAUCUGGAGGAAUACCGGUGGCGAAGGCGGCCCCCUGGACGAAGACUGACGCUCAGGUGCGAAAGCGUGGGGAGCAAACAGGAUUAGAUACCCGAGUAGUC